Molecule: unclassified non-coding RNA, 315 nt
Filed under: uncultured fungus
Lineage: Eukaryota; Fungi
Description: partial contains small subunit ribosomal RNA, internal transcribed spacer 1, and 5.8S ribosomal RNA
Rfam family: Eukaryotic small subunit ribosomal RNA (bases 1-73)
Source: RNAcentral
GCAAACUUGGUCAUUUAGAGGAAGUAAAAGUCGUAACAAGGUUUCCGUAGGUGAACCUGCGGAAGGAUCAUUACCGAGUGAGGGUUCCACAAAAAGGGCCCGACCUCCCAACCCUGUGUCUAUUCUACCGUGUUGCUUCGGCGGGCCCGUCCCUUAGGACCGCCGGAGGGGCCUCUGCCGCCCCUCUGGCCUGCGCCCGUCGAGAGCCCAACCCCCCUAAACCCUGAUUAAGAUGUGGUCUGAACUGUUAUAUUUAAUAACUAAAAAACUUUCAACAACGGAUCUCUUGGUUCUGGCAUCGAUGAAGAACGCAGC